RNAcentral lists this long non-coding RNA (415 nucleotides) under Felis catus (domestic cat). Its description in RNAcentral is "lncRNA (ENSFCAG00000041304.2)". Lineage: Eukaryota; Metazoa; Chordata; Mammalia; Carnivora; Felidae. The record is from RNAcentral.
GGGCGUUACAGCGUUUUGCUCCAGAUUCUGUCUCCGGGAGGAGAGCCUUCUGUGCUCCAGGCAGGAGGAAAGGAGGCGUUCGAUUCAUCAAGUCCAAGUUGAGCUACAUGAUCAUGAAGAACAUUCAAGCAGGUAUGGACCCCAUUUUGUUGGCCCAUUCAUCCACGGAUGGAGAGUGUUUGGAUUUUCAGGUGCUAUUCACUAAACCACCUCAAAAGGUAGGGAAUAAACAAGGCAUCUGCAAAACACUUUGCCCCAUGCUCAGAACCCAGUAUGUGCUCCGCAGAUAAGCAUUAGCAUUAGUUAGUAUCUCUUGACUAAGAAAUGUGUGUUCACCCACGGAUGUGUGCCCCCCCCCCCGGACUAACUGCUCAGCCACUAGCAGGGUGGGGGCGGGGGGUUGGGUCACUAUCCC